UCCUGGGCAGCGGUUCCCGGGGAUGGAGCCCCGGCCGCGGGCUGCGCGCCACCCGUCACCUCGAUGGCCGGCAGGGGCUGGAUCUCGGCGAACGUAGUCAUGGUGGUGGGCAGCUGGAUCUCUUUGGGGAUCAGCAGACGUAUGUGCGAGGGGUACUAGGAUAAAGGAGCAUUCUGUGACAGUUCACACCUCACCUGUGUGUGCAGCUGAGCUUCUUACCCUGCAGACUUGUUUGAUCUCAC
Molecule: long non-coding RNA, 242 nt
Organism: Nannospalax galili (Upper Galilee mountains blind mole rat)
Lineage: Eukaryota; Metazoa; Chordata; Mammalia; Rodentia; Spalacidae
Exons: 3
Source: RefSeq, a predicted model, not a curated record